AAUCGCACAAUAGGCCAAUACCUGACAAGAAAGGAAAAGUAGAAGCUACAUUUGAUAGAUCUUUCCGCAUGAAAUAGGCAAAGCAUGAUAGGUUUAGGGUUUAUGAUGUCCUCUCUGCAACCAGACGUCCAAGCUGCAAUCAAACAUGGAUAAGAUUGGCUGAAAUCAAAGAAUCAAACAUGGAUAAGAUUGGCAGAAAUCAAAGAGCUUCGUCCAAAUGGGUUUUUCAAGUUUUAACCCGGGAUCUGCCUUUAUGGUAAUCAACGACACGGUUUCAGUGCCGGCCAGUUGAGCGUGAUGCUGUCAAACCCAUGCCAGACCAGACAAUGUGGCUGCUAACGACAAAAUGAGCACACCAGAACCAGGCGUACUAAGGAUCUAGAUUUCCUUUGUUUGUUCCAAGUGCAACCCCCAAUUUUUUGAGCAAGAGAUAAAGGAUGGAUCGGUGGAAAGCUGCACGCAUGUGAACUGGCGAAUUGAUGGUCGGUACUUCUUAUAUGGGAUUCCCUUAUCUUGUCCUCAAUUAGUGGUGCCCCUAGCUUCUAAGGUUGCAUUCAUUCCUUUUUGUUUUUUUGUUUUUUUUUUUCUAAUUCUAUUCUUUGUCAUCAUCCCUGUCAUCCAUACGAACAUCCUCAUUUUGGAUUUGUUUUUUGACUUCCUACAGUUUAGCAUAAUAAUGUGUGACCAUAAGGGUGUUAUGAACCUUUCGUAUUGUACUUGACAGUGAUGUACCAUCCACAAGAUAGUGUUGCCACUUAAAUAUUCCCUUUAAUUUGAUUGGCAUUAAUCACUAAUUUUCAUUGUUCUUUCACUUCUCUUAGUUUUUGCGAAAUUAAGUCAAAUAUAUUUUGCCCUAGUUCUUAUUCUGAAACCCUUGGAUUCCAAAGCAUCUAAAGAUAGUUUAAUUAACCUUGGUGCUAGUUUAUUUCACGGAGGCAUGCCAUUAGUAGAUAAUACACCCGAACGGGCUUUUCCUUAACUAUGCUUGGUAAAUUCAUCCACACCCAAUACAAGAAAUUAAAUGAGAUUAGUGCUUAUCCUUAUAUAAGCUCGUUAUGAUUAGAAAUUCACUUUUCUCUGCUCCAAUUACUUGCAUCCAUAAAUGUCCUGAUCAAGUUGAUAUAUUUAGUUGAUAUUUGUUUGUUUUAUAAGGCCUGCCAUACUAUCUCUAACAACUCAUACUCAAUGUUGAAUCUCUUUGAAAUGAGAUCAAAUUGAUUCUUUGAUACACCUGCAUAUUAUCUCUUUAUAUGCACUUAUCACUCUGUAAAGAUUCAUUCAAUGAAAAACUAGUUUGGUACCAUGAGAGUUGUGAUUUUCAAAUUUCAAUACCACCUUUGUUCUUAUAUACCACCAAAGUACUUCUUUUCCUCUUUAUUCAUGAGUUAAUCAUGUUGUUGGCAGCAUUAGUGUGUAGAUGAUGGCAUGACUUGUUAGUGGUUGUGGUGAUGGUGACAGGCCACUGCAGGUGGAAGACUAACAGGGAAUAGUGUUUGUGGGCAUCAAGUUAGGACCAGAUCCAUGUGAGUAAGCUCCUGAAUGACACUUUGUCAUCUAUAAUUGUGAUGCAUAUUUACAAGCUGACCAGAAAAACAAUUCCAGAAUGGAUGAACAGUCUUUCUAAGAUACAUAUUUUAUAUAAUGUCUCUUUCCUCAUCACAAACCAUUUGCUACUUGGAAUUUAUAUUUAUUUUCUUGUAUUUGUUCAAAUUUUUGUGCUUAGUAUUUGUUGCUAUUUGAGGUUUUAUCAAAUAUAGGGUCAGGUGACUGCUGUGGUUGACCUGAUGCUAUACAUUUAUACAUCUCUGGUUUCUAUUGUUGUUUUUUUGAGCUAGUUACUUCUAAUGGAUUGAAGCUUAUGAUCAUAAGGCUUGAACCCAUUCAAUCCACUCUGUCAGUCAUUGUUAUAUAAUCUGUUUUAUUGACUUUCUGUAAUAUUGGCCAGUGCAGAGAGAACGGGUUUUCAUAAGGACUCCCUGGAGACCUAGAUUCAAAUAUUCUAGGUUAUAUAAUUAGCACCUUGUCUUCUUCCUUCGAAAGGAAAAGGAAAGGAAAAAAUUAACUGCAAUCAGUUAUAUUGACGAGUUUUUUCCUUGUUUGGACAGUUUAUUCUUCUGUGUGACUUGGCUUGCACAGCUAAUGUUCCUGCUGUGCCAUGCUACUGCAAGAUUCCAAUGCAACAAUUGAGAGAAGAGGCCGUUAAUUAGUUCCUGUUGAAAAGUGUCUCACAUUCUAUUUUUGAGUCGAUUGAAAAGUUAUAAAUAGUUUCCAAGUAGAAAAUAUUUUUGUAAGUGGGUUUACUAUUAUUAUAAAUGAAAUACCCUGUCAUGAGAUGUUCUUUUAGGAAAAGGCAUUCAAAAAUAG
This is a long non-coding RNA of Vitis riparia (riverbank grape), 2364 nucleotides long. RefSeq lists it as uncharacterized. The transcript has 3 exons. NCBI's taxonomy places the organism in Eukaryota, Viridiplantae, Streptophyta, Magnoliopsida, Vitales, Vitaceae. The record is from RefSeq and is a predicted model, not a curated record.